UCAGCCUGUGCACAGUCCCCUGGCCAGGUGCCUGUGAGGGUGAAGGUCCUCCCCCACUCUCCAGUCCCCCUCCCUGGCUCUGCCUGCUCACUGACUUGCCCUGGAUCCAGAGUCAGUGGAGCAGAGGGAUCGGGGCUCAUGUCCCCAGCCUGGCUAGCAGUGGGCUAGGGCCAUGUUUUCCUUAUGGCACUUAUUUAUGGCCUGCCUAUCCCCCUUCUCCAAAGUGCAGAUGAUGGCGGCUGUUCUGAUUUCCCUUCCCACACCAGCAGGAUGGCGGGCGGCCUUGGAGCGUAUAGGCCCUGAGGUCAAAUGUCUGUCGCCCAGGGCUUGUCUCCAGGGCUUUCCUUUUCCAACAUGCCUGAGUGUCUGGAGGGAAACCUUUCCUCGACCUUAGGUUCAGUGUUGGGGGCCUGCAAAUUUCACCGACAAUAGAGCAGCAAAGACAAGGUUGUUCACAGGCCUCAGGAGCGGCGGGGUUUACGUGCUUAACUAGUAGGAAACGGGAGUGGGGAGAGGCAGAGGUGCCAUUGCCAGCUCUCCUCGGCUCAGGCUCCUGGACUCCUUUCCAGUUAGGCCUCGCUUCCAGGCUCCCUGUUCAUCCCUGCCCUGUCCAACUGCAGCACAGCCUGAGGGAUCAGGCUCGCCAGAAGUCCCCCUCCCCCACCUCUGAGAGCUGGCCCCCACCUCUGGUCACCUGGUGAUGGUGAAGGUCCCCCCUCCCUCUCCAGUCCUCCUCCCUGGCUCUGCCUUCUAGUAGCCUGGCCUCUACUUCUGAUCUCCUGGCCUGACCUCCGGUCACCUGACCUCCAUAUCGAAUCAGGCUUCUCAUCCUCCAUCAUCCCCAGAUGACGUGGGAUUUCCUGUCUGCCUUCAGAGACUCCUGUUAGGUCAGCUGAGGCAGACCCCCGUGCCCUGGUGCAUGCCCCGGUGCUCUUCCAUGUGCUCACCUGGACCACCUGUGAAUUCCCACCUUUCCUUGUUCUGUUGUGUGAGCCGGUGGGUCUCUCUCCCAUUGCACUGUCCCGUUGCACUGGUCCCUGGGCCUGUCUUGACAGUUCUCUUGAAUAAAGUUCGGCUUCGUACCGUCUUUAAGAAGUGUUAUUGACCAAUUUUUAAACAUUUUUGUUUAUUUAUUUUUUACAACAGGCCCAAGUGGCCUGCUGUCUUCUUGACUGGAGGCCCCUCCCCUGGGGAAUUUAUGGCAGUUUCAAUCUCCAGUCUCCUUCCUGGGAGUGGAGCAGCCCCUUCAGAGAGAAGGGAUUUAUGGAACCUCUUUUCCAGAAGAUUCUGUCUCACAUACAGACAGCUCCCAAAAGG
Molecule: long non-coding RNA, 1317 nt
Filed under: Marmota monax (woodchuck)
Lineage: Eukaryota; Metazoa; Chordata; Mammalia; Rodentia; Sciuridae
Source: RNAcentral